This is a long non-coding RNA of Mauremys reevesii (Reeves's turtle), 390 nucleotides long. RefSeq lists it as uncharacterized. Lineage: Eukaryota; Metazoa; Chordata; Testudines; Geoemydidae. The record is from RefSeq and is a predicted model, not a curated record. The transcript is spliced from 2 exons.
CUUGGACAGAUCUCUUGGAGACAGUGCAGGGGUCUUCACCAUGAGAGUGGCUAAUGGGAUGUUCCCUUGAUCAUGUGUAGACAGAACUCUUUGAGCAGCUAUAUUGUGGCUCCAGCGGCCAGUACCAGCUGCAUCAGAGGAAGGUGCAAAACACCUGUGCAGUGAGCAGCUGGAGGGAGGUUCUUCCGAACUCCCAUUAGUAAGAGAUUAUCUUAUGUCCUGAGGUAUAUUUCACUCCAAACUGAAAACCACUGCCCUCCAGGCUCUCUCGUGCACUCAGACCCUGAGCAGCACGCCCUUUGGCUUUUAAACCAGGCCAGCAGAGUGGUGAGCUGGUGUCUUAAUAUUUCUGCAGGAAUUUUUAAAGUAAUAAAAAGCUGCUGCUUCGUG